This 460-nucleotide ribosomal RNA is filed under the name uncultured bacterium. RNAcentral describes it as "SSU rRNA". It matches the Rfam family "Bacterial small subunit ribosomal RNA", at positions 26 to 518 of the family's 1533-position model. The record is from RNAcentral.
AGAAUCAACGCUGGCGGCGUGCCUAACACAUGCAAGUCGCACGAGAAAGGGGAGCAAUCCCUGAGUAAAGUGGCGCACGGGUGAGUAACACGUGAAUAAUCUACCUCCGAGUGGGGAAUAACUGAGAGAAAUCUUAGCUAAUACCGCAUAACACUUACGAGUCAAAGCAGCAAUGCGCUUGGAGAGGAGUUCGCGGCCGAUUAGUUAGUUGGCGGGGUAAUGGCCCACCAAGACGAUGAUCGGUAUCCGGCCUGAGAGGGCGCACGGACACACUGGAACUGAAACACGGUCCAGACUCCUACGGAGGCAGCAGUGGGGAAUUUUGCGCAAUGGGGGAAACCCUGACGCAGCAACGCCGCGUGGAGGAUGAAGCCCCGUUGGGGUGUAAACUCCUUUCGAUCGGGAAGAUAAUGUACGGUACCGAUAUAAGAGCCCCGGCUAACUUCGCGCCAGCAGCCGC